This 253-nucleotide ribosomal RNA is filed under the name uncultured bacterium. RNAcentral's name for it is "partial 16S ribosomal RNA". It matches the Rfam family "Bacterial small subunit ribosomal RNA", at positions 524 to 776 of the family's 1533-position model. The record is from RNAcentral.
UACGUAGGGUGCGAGCGUUGUCCGGAAUUAUUGGGCGUAAAGAGCUUGUAGGCGGUUUGUCGCGUCUGCCGUGAAAAUCCGGGGCUCAACCCCGGACUUGCGGUGGGUACGGGCAGACUAGAGUGUGGUAGGGGAGACUGGAAUUCCUGGUGUAGCGGUGAAAUGCGCAGAUAUCAGGAGGAACACCGGUGGCGAAGGCGGGUCUCUGGGCCGGAACUGACGCUAAGGAGCGAAAGCGUGGGGAGCGAACAGG